GAGAGAAGAGGAGAGAGACAGCAGAUAGUUUGACCUUGUUGUCUUCGUUGGAGGCAUGAGGAAAACCACCUGCAGUUCAGUCCAGAUGGUUCAUGGAGACGUGGUGUGCCAUGUCUUGAGCCUGAUGACCUCAACUUCAUAGAAAAAAUG
Nematolebias whitei (Rio pearlfish) is the source of this 150-nucleotide long non-coding RNA. RefSeq lists it as uncharacterized. The transcript is spliced from 3 exons. The record is from RefSeq and is a predicted model, not a curated record. Lineage: Eukaryota; Metazoa; Chordata; Actinopteri; Cyprinodontiformes; Rivulidae.